RNAcentral lists this ribosomal RNA (454 nucleotides) under Aeromonas sp. AE42. RNAcentral describes it as "bacterial SSU rRNA". It matches the Rfam family "Bacterial small subunit ribosomal RNA", at positions 30 to 471 of the family's 1533-position model. The record is from RNAcentral. Lineage: Bacteria; Pseudomonadati; Pseudomonadota; Gammaproteobacteria; Aeromonadales; Aeromonadaceae.
AUUGAACGCUGGCGGCAGGCCUAACACAUGCAAGUCGAGCGGCAGCGGGAAAGUAGCUUGCUACUUUUGCCGGCGAGCGGCGGACGGGUGAGUAAUGCCUGGGGAUCUGCCCAGUCGAGGGGGAUAACUACUGGAAACGGUAGCUAAUACCGCAUACGCCCUACGGGGGAAAGCAGGGGACCUUCGGGCCUUGCGCGAUUGGAUGAACCCAGGUGGGAUUAGCUAGUUGGUGAGGUAAUGGCUCACCAAGGCGACGAUCCCUAGCUGGUCUGAGAGGAUGAUCAGCCACACUGGAACUGAGACACGGUCCAGACUCCUACGGGAGGCAGCAGUGGGGAAUAUUGCACAAUGGGGGAAACCCUGAUGCAGCCAUGCCGCGUGUGUGAAGAAGGCCUUCGGGUUGUAAAGCACUUUCAGCGAGGAGGAAAGGUUGGUAGCUAAUAACUGCCAGCUG